This is a long non-coding RNA of Dipodomys ordii (Ord's kangaroo rat), 358 nucleotides long. RefSeq lists it as uncharacterized. The record is from RefSeq and is a predicted model, not a curated record. The transcript is spliced from 3 exons. Lineage: Eukaryota; Metazoa; Chordata; Mammalia; Rodentia; Heteromyidae.
CUCUGAACAGCUUGGCAGGCAGCUCUGUCUGCCCAGUCUUGGAAGAGGAGCUGCAUUUCACCAAGCUGCAGCUGACAAGAAGCUUCAAGACAGCUUAGGUGAAUAUCUCAGGUGCACGUGACUUGGGCAAUCUGUGUGUGGUGUCAGGUGAAUCCCUAUGAGGCAGUGCAGCCACUGAAGUGCCCCUCAGGGUGAAGGCUCUGUUGGACUAGCACAUAGAGUGAAAAUCAAGGCAGUUCUCAUCCACAUGACAGAGGAAUUAUCCUAUUCAAACGUGUUCAACAUCUUGGAGAAAUUGUAAUUGAAGAGAAGAGGCCCCAUAAGUCAUACACCGUUGGUGGUCCAGCCUCAAAAGAGA